GGAGCUAUAGCUCAGUGGUAGAGUAUAUGCUUAGCAUGCAUGAGGUCCUGGGUUCAAGCCCCAGUAUCUCCA
Molecule: transfer RNA, 72 nt
Filed under: Camelus bactrianus (Bactrian camel)
Lineage: Eukaryota; Metazoa; Chordata; Mammalia; Artiodactyla; Camelidae
Also listed under: 1 other name
Rfam family: tRNA
About the family: Transfer RNA (tRNA) molecules are approximately 80 nucleotides in length. Their secondary structure includes four short double-helical elements and three loops (D, anti-codon, and T loops). Further hydrogen bonds mediate the characteristic L-shaped molecular structure. tRNAs have two regions of fundamental functional importance: the anti-codon, which is responsible for specific mRNA codon recognition, and the 3' end, to which the tRNAs corresponding amino acid is attached (by aminoacyl-tRNA synthetases). tRNAs cope with the degeneracy of the genetic code in two manners: having more than one tRNA (with a specific anti-codon) for a particular amino acid; and 'wobble' base-pairing, i.e. permitting non-standard base-pairing at the 3rd anti-codon position.
Source: Rfam by way of RNAcentral